AGCUCCAAUAGCGUAUAUUAAAGUUGUUGCAGUUAAAAAGCUCGUAGUUGGAUUUGUGGCUGUCGCGUGCGGCCCGGCAUUCGUGCCGGUGUUUGCUAGCGUCGCCAUCCUUGGGUGGAACCUGUGUGGCAUUAGGUUGUCGUGCAGGGGAUGCCCAUCGUUUACUGUGAAAAAAUUAGAGUGUUCAAAGCAGGCUUAUGCCGUUGAAUAUAUUAGCAUGGAAUAAUAAGAUAGGACCUUGGUACUAUUUUGUUGGUUUGCGCACCAAGGUAAUGAUUAAUAGGGACAGUUGGGGGUAUUCGUAUUCCAUUGUCAGAGGUGAAAUUCUUGGAUUUUUGGAAGACGAACUACUGCGAAAGCAUUUACCAAGGAUGUUUUCAUUAAUCAAGAACGAAAGUAG
Molecule: ribosomal RNA, 400 nt
Filed under: phytoplankton environmental sample
Lineage: Eukaryota
Description: partial small subunit ribosomal RNA
Rfam family: Eukaryotic small subunit ribosomal RNA
Source: RNAcentral